UCUCUUGUUUCACGGGCGCGUUCAUAUAUAUGGCAUGUACGGCCGUGUUUUCACGCGCGGAUAAUUAUUGACUUGGAGAAAUUAUAUGGAUUUCUCCGUCAGUGAUGAUACUUUUAGGUUUUCGCUCGAUUUGUGUACAUGUAAAAAAUGUCAAUGAGUGUUGUGCUUGUGAAGCUGUGACCCCACUUGACAAGAUUCACCGUGACGCACGUCGUACAACUGUUGUUUCAACUCAUUCCCGGUUCGGAGGACGACGUCUCCCGUAUGGACAUGGAGACGAUCCUGGAAACGUUUUCACUCGAACACGAGUAAGAAAUUGAGACCGCGACAAUAGAAGUCCUCAUGGCUUCUUACGUCUCAGAAGUGGCGAGAAAUCGCCAUGCAGCGGGAACUAAAGGGGGAGCUCUUUUUCAGAGUGUCCUGAAGCUUAGAGGACCAGAAUUUUCCAUUAGAACGCACUGCCCCUUUAAGCUUCGGCGCAGUGGAGCACCUCCUCUACUCCCUGGUGCCGCAGUGGAAUAGUGCCAGCGCUGCGGGUGAGCGAGCUCGCAGAAUGCUGGCUGGCUAGCCAAACACCACUGGAUCCGUGGGUCCUGACACAAGACCACGAUCACGAAGAUGAGGAAAACCACGAAAAUUCACACCUCAUGGGAUCGUGUGAGGCAAUAAACGCAUGUUGUCUCCGGCGGUGAGCCCUCUCUUCCCAUAGAAUAGAGGACUAGGAAACCGCAAAUCCUCCGUAUCAAAGCGAGCGUGGAGAAUCUGGAGCUAAAGGCGAGGACGACAACGUUGUCACCAGCAGCACCACCUUCAGGCUUUCUAUGUUUUCACAGACGGUGGUUCGCAUCGUUGUCCCAUGCGACAUUGCAAGGAAAAAACACGCGAAAGAUUCAGGAGUAAAGCUGACAACGUCCCUGCUACGAAGGUUGAUGAAAGCCCGUAUAGGGACUUCAAAUGACGACGAGGCCGAAGAAUGAAACGAUAGCCACCGCAUGCCAUUAAAUACACAGGAGCUCUUCCCAACGAGCAACCUCUCCCAACAACUAGGUCAAGGGUUCCUUAAGCGCAAGGAAAAGUGAAUACUGCGUUUUGAUUUUGUUUGGAGUGACUGGUAUGCCCGUGCGAUCCUUCCAUUACGUCGGACACGAAUGCGAGAGCAAAUUCCACUCUCUCCCGUUACGUGUCUGAACUUCUGACACAAAGCUUUUGUUUUGCAGCGUCGCGUGAAACACGGAAGAGACCCCAAGUGACAAGGCCUUCGUGCGCGCGCCCUGGCAGCCAGCGUUCCAAAGUCGUUGCAAAACUGGAGACUGCGGCUCCUCUUCGUAAUGUGAGAUCGGACGUCUGUAUGUUUACAUUCAAUAAAGAUAUUUCUGUAAGUCAGUAAAACAGAGACUCGU
Molecule: long non-coding RNA, 1400 nt
Organism: Ornithodoros turicata
Lineage: Eukaryota; Metazoa; Arthropoda; Arachnida; Ixodida; Argasidae
Exons: 5
Source: RefSeq, a predicted model, not a curated record